UCCCGUUGAUCCUGCGGGAGAUUGCUGCUAUUAGGAUUCGACUAAGCCAUGCAAGUCAGAGGGACUCUUCGGAGUCACAGGCACAACGCUCAGUAACACGUUGGUAACCUAACCUUAAGUAUGGGACAACCUUGGAAAACUGAGGCUAAACCCGGAUAGGAGAUAACAACUGCAAUGUGUUAUCUCUCAAAAGAAAUGCUUAAGGAUGGGCCAGCGGCCGAUUAGGCUGUUGGUGAGGUAAUGGCUCACCAAACUUAUGAUCAGUACGGGCCGUGAGAGCGGGAACCCGGAGAAGGGUACUGAGAAAAGGACCCUAGCCCUACGGGGUGCAGCAGGCGCGAAACCUUUACAAUGCACGAAAGUGUGAUAAGGGGAUCCUAAGUGCCUAUGUUUUUACAUAGGCCUUUUUUUUAAGGGUAAACUUCUUGAAGAAUAAGUGGUGGGUAAGACUGGUGCCAGCCGCCGCGGUAACACCAGCGCCACAAGUGGCAAUCACUAUUAUUGGGCCUAAAGCGUCCGUAGCCGGUUUAAUAAGUCUUUUGUGAGAUUGUUGAGCCUAACUCAACAUCGUGCAAGAGAUACUGUUAAACUUGGAACCGGGAGGAGUUAGAGGUAUUCUGUGGGGAGCGGUAAAAUGCUAUAAUCCUCAGAAGACCACCUAUGGCGAAGGCAUCUAACUAGAACGGAUUCGACGGUGAGGGACGAAAGCCAGGGGAUCAAACCGGAUUAGAUACCCGAGUAGUCCUGGCUGUAAACGCUGCGAGCAAGGCGUUGCAUAUUCCACGUGAAUAUGCAGUGUCGAAGAGAAGUCGUUAAGCUCGCCGCCUGGGAAGUACGGCCGCAAGACUGAAACUUAAAGGAAUUGGCGGGGGAGCACUACAACGAGUGGAAUGUGCGGUUUAAUCCAAUUCAACGCGGAAAAUCUCACCAGGAGCGACGGCAGAAUGAAAGUCAGAUUAAAGGUCUUACUUAACGAGCCGAGAGGUAGUGCAUGGCCGCCGUCAGCUCGUGCUGUAAGGUGUCCUCUUAAGUGAGGCAACGAGCAAGACCUGUAUCCACAAUUGCUACUGGGUUCUUUACAACGACCAAGCACAUUGUGGGGACUGCCUUGGAAACAAGGAGGAAGGUGCAGGCAACGGUAGGUCUGUAUGCUCCGAAUCUUCUGGGCAACACGCGCAUUACAAUGGUAGGGACAAUGGGAUACAACUCCGAGAGGAGAAGUCAAACCUCGAGACCCUAUCCUAGUUCGGAUGAGGGCUGUAACUCGCCCUCAUGAAGCUGGAAUUCGUAGUAAUCGGAAUUCAACAUGUUCCGGUGAAUACGUCCCUGCUCCUUGCACACACCGCCCGUCAAACCACUCGAGCAGGACUUAGAUGAGGUCUAAUCUAUUAAUUAUCCCGAAUCUAAGUUCAGUGAGAUGGGUUAAGUCGUCACAAGGUA
RNAcentral lists this ribosomal RNA (1440 nucleotides) under metagenome. RNAcentral describes it as "bacterial SSU rRNA". It matches the Rfam family "Archaeal small subunit ribosomal RNA". The record is from RNAcentral.